Molecule: ribosomal RNA, 673 nt
Filed under: Lophodermella concolor
Lineage: Eukaryota; Fungi; Ascomycota; Leotiomycetes; Rhytismatales; Rhytismataceae
Description: partial large subunit ribosomal RNA
Rfam family: Eukaryotic large subunit ribosomal RNA
Source: RNAcentral
GAACGGGACGUCAUGGAGGGUGAGAAUCCCGUAUGUGACUGGUGGCCUGUGCCUGUGUGAAGCUCCUUCGACGAGUCGAGUUGUUUGGGAAUGCAGCUCUAAAUGGGUGGUAAAUUUCAUCUAAAGCUAAAUACUGGCCAGAGACCGAUAGCGCACAAGUAGAGUGAUCGAAAGAUGAAAAGCACUUUGGAAAGAGAGUUAAACAGUACGUGAAAUUGUUGAAAGGGAAGCGCUUGCAAUCAGACUUGCGCGGUGUUGAUCAGCCUGGGUUCUCCCAGGUGCACUCAGCGCCGCUCAGGCCAGCAUCAGUUUCGGCGGCGGGAUAAAGGCCUGGGGAACGUAGGUCGCUUCGGCGACUGUUAUAGCCCCAGGCGCCAUGCCGCCUGCUGGGACUGAGGACCGCGCUUUGGCUAGGAUGCUGGCGUAAUGGUUGUAAGCGACCCGUCUUGAAACACGGACCAAGGAGUCGAACAAUGGUGCGAGUGUCUGGGUGCCAAACCCCUGCGCGUAAUGAAAGUGAACGGAGGUGAGAACCCUCAAGGGUGCAUCAUCGACCGAUCCUGAAGUCUACGGAUGGAUUUGAGUAAGAGCAUCACUGUUCGGACCCGAAAAUUGAUGAACUAUUCGUGACUAGGGUGAAGCCAGAGGAAACUCUGGUGGAGGCUCGCAGAGG